GCCGGGUGUGGUGGCGGGCGCCUGUAGUCCCAGCUAUUGGGGAGGCUGAGACAGGAGAAUCACUUGAACCCAGGAGGUGGGGGUUGUAGUGAGCCAAGAUUUUGCCACUGCACUCCAGCCUGGGUAACAGAGUGAGACACUGUCUCAA
Molecule: non-coding RNA, 148 nt
Organism: Gorilla gorilla gorilla (western lowland gorilla)
Lineage: Eukaryota; Metazoa; Chordata; Mammalia; Primates; Hominidae
Rfam family: Metazoan signal recognition particle RNA
About the family: The signal recognition particle (SRP) is a universally conserved ribonucleoprotein. It is involved in the co-translational targeting of proteins to membranes.
Source: Rfam